Molecule: ribosomal RNA, 516 nt
Filed under: Emesopsis sp.
Lineage: Eukaryota; Metazoa; Arthropoda; Insecta; Hemiptera; Reduviidae
Description: partial large subunit ribosomal RNA
Rfam family: Eukaryotic large subunit ribosomal RNA
Source: RNAcentral
AAAACCCAAAGGCGAAAUGAAAGUAAAUAGUGGAAUAUUGAUUUAUCAAUUUCUCUAUAGGGAAGAUGGAAUGUCGAUCAGUAAUUUUGUAGCAUUUAUGUUAUAUUUUAUUAUUGAUUUGGCUUCCCGCACUCCCGGGGCGCUUGUUUCACGCUUUGCGAGUCACUGCGCACCUAGAGCGUACACGAUGAUACCCGAAAGAUGGUGAACUAUGCCUGGCCAGGACGAAGCCAGGGGAAACCCUGGUGGAGGUCCGCAGCGAUUCUGACGUGCAAAUCGAUCGUCGGAGCUGGGUAUAGGGGCGAAAGACCAAUCGAACCAUCUAGUAGCUGGUUCCCUCUGAAGUUUCCCUCAGGAUAGCUUGCGUUCAGAAGAGUCUCAUCCGGUAGAGCGAAUGAUUAGAGGCAUUGGGGUCGAAACGACCUCAACCUAUUCUCAAACUCCAAAUAGAUGAGAUCCCCGGCUUUCUUAAAAAUGAAGCCGUGGGAAUUGGAUCAGAGUGCAAAGUGGGCCAAU